AGUGAACGCUGGCGGCAGGCCUAAUACAUGCAAGUCGAACGGCAGCACAGCAGAGCUUGCUCUGUGGGUGGCGAGUGGCGGACGGGUGAGGAAUACGUGGGAAUCUGCCCAGUCGUGGGGGAUAACGUAGGGAAACUUACGCUAAUACCGCAUGCGCCCUUCGGGGGAAAGCCGGGGACCUUCGGGCCUGGCGCGAUUGGAUGAGCCCACGUCGGAUUAGCUAGUUGGCGGGGUAAAGGCCCACCAAGGCGACGAUCCGUAGCUGGUCUGAGAGGAUGAUCAGCCACACUGGAACUGAGACACGGUCCAGACUCCUACGGGAGGCAGCAGUAGGGAAUAUUGGACAAUGGGCGCAAGCCUGAUCCAGCCAUGCCGCGUGAGUGAAGAAGGCCUCGGGUUGUAAAGCUC
RNAcentral lists this ribosomal RNA (408 nucleotides) under uncultured bacterium. RNAcentral's name for it is "bacterial SSU rRNA". It matches the Rfam family "Bacterial small subunit ribosomal RNA", at positions 30 to 433 of the family's 1533-position model. The record is from RNAcentral.